This 1401-nucleotide ribosomal RNA is filed under the name uncultured bacterium. Its description in RNAcentral is "bacterial SSU rRNA". It matches the Rfam family "Bacterial small subunit ribosomal RNA". The record is from RNAcentral.
GAGUUUGAUCCUGGCUCAGAUUGAACGCUGGCGGCAUGCUUUACACAUGCAAGUCGGACGGCAGCACAGAGAAGCUUGCUUCUUGGGUGGCGAGUGGCGAACGGGUGAGUAACAUAUCGGAACGUACCGAGUAAUGGGGGAUAACUAAUCGAAAGAUUAGCUAAUACCGCAUAUUCUCUGAGGAGGAAAGCAGGGGACCUUCGGGCCUUGCGUUAUUUGAGCGGCCGAUAUCUGAUUAGCUAGUUGGUGGGGUAAAGGCCUACCAAGGCGACGAUCAGUAGCGGGUCUGAGAGGAUGAUCCGCCACACUGGGACUGAGACACGGCCCAGACUCCUACGGGAGGCAGCAGUGGGGAAUUUUGGACAAUGGGCGCAAGCCUGAUCCAGCCAUGCCGCGUGUCUGAAGAAGGCCUUCGGGUUGUAAAGGACUUUUGUCAGGGAAGAAAAGGACAGGGUUAAUACCCCUGUCUGAUGACGGUACCUGAAGAAUAAGCACCGGCUAACUACGUGCCAGCAGCCGCGGUAAUACGUAGGGUGCGAGCGUUAAUCGGAAUUACUGGGCGUAAAGCGAGCGCAGACGGUUACUUAAGCAGGAUGUGAAAUCCCCGGGCUCAACCUGGGAACUGCGUUCUGAACUGGGUGACUAGAGUGUGUCAGAGGGAGGUAGAAUUCCACGUGUAGCAGUGAAAUGCGUAGAGAUGUGGAGGAAUACCGAUGGCGAAGGCAGCCUCCUGGGAUAACACUGACGUUCAUGCUCGAAAGCGUGGGUAGCAAACAGGAUUAGAUACCCUGGUAGUCCACGCCCUAAACGAUGUCAAUUAGCUGUUGGGCAACUUGAUUGCUUAGUAGCGUGGCUAACGCGUGAAAUUGACCGCCUGGGGAGUACGGUCGCAAGAUUAAAACUCAAAGGAAUUGACGGGGACCCGCACAAGCGGCGGAGCAUGUGGAUUAAUUCGAUGCAACGCGAAGAACCUUACCUGGGUUUGACAUGCACCAGACGGUUGUAGAGAUACGUACCUCCCUUUGUGGUUGGUGUGCAGGUGGUGCAUGGUUGUCGUCAGCUCGUGUCGUGAGAUGUUGGGUUAAGUCCCGCAACGAGCGCAACCCUUGUCUUAUGUUGCCAGCACGUUUGGGUGGGGACUCAUGAGAGACUGCCGGGGUUAACUCGGAGGAAGGUGGGGAUGACGUCAAAUCAUCAUGCCCUUUAUGCCCAGGGCUUCACACAUGCUACAAUGGUUAGUACAACGCGCUGCGAGCCUGUGAGGGUGAGCGAAUCGCUGAAAGCUAAUCUCAGUUCGGAUUGGGGUCUGCAACUCGACCCCAUGAAGUCGGAGUCGCUAGUAAUCGCAGAUCAGCAAUGCUGCGGUGAAUACGUUCCCGGGCCUUGUACACACCGCCCGUC